AAGUCGUAACAAGGUUUCCGUAGGUGAACCUGCGGAAGGAUCAUUAUCACGUAUCCACGUAUCAACCAUUGUGCACUGUUUCACCCUCUGGAGUUUUUAAAACGAGAUAGCGCUUGUAGCUUCAGGCAUUUAAUUGGGCUCUUUUGUAAUGUAGUUUUAUGAGCCUCGUCUGACUACUCAUGGCCUUCCUGGACCGGACGCGGUUCGGGUGCUCGUCUCCUUAGGAGUAUUUGAUAAACCGCAUUGUUUUUUAUUAACCUUUUUUAAAACUAUCUGAACUGACCGUCUUUUACUCUUCUUUAAUCGGAGGAGACUAGACACCUUAUUAAAUUAUGAACAACUCUUAGCAACGGAUAUCUUGGUUCUC
This 367-nucleotide unclassified non-coding RNA is filed under the name fungal sp. RNAcentral's name for it is "partial internal transcribed spacer region". The stretch from base 1 to 46 matches the Rfam family "Eukaryotic small subunit ribosomal RNA", at positions 1786 to 1831 of the family's 1831-position model. The record is from RNAcentral. Lineage: Eukaryota; Fungi.